UAUAGUAAUCCUAUUUAGUACAAGAGGAACCACUGGUUCAGACAUUCAUCAUACGUGCCUGUCCAAAGGCCUAUGGUGCGAAGCUACCAUCUGAGGGAUUAAGACUGAACGCCUGUGAGCUUGAAUCCCGUCCGUACAUUCUGCGCCUGUUACACGGCAAGGCUUGCUUACGUUUUCAUUGGCGCUUGGCCCAGACCAUGAGUCUGUCCUGGCCCAUUAGAUCUGGCGUAAUGCCACAGUGGUUAUCGAAACCGUACACCGGACCUUGCUGUGCAGAGGACAACGCGAUACCCGAAGGUAGAAUUAGCGUUAAGGCACCAAAUCGUCGGCAGAUGACCCAAUUUUUUGUCAAGGAGGUGUAAGCGUUCGAGCAGCUGCCAUGCUGCGAGACGUUUAGCCCUAUCCCUUUUGAACAAUGUUG
This 421-nucleotide non-coding RNA is filed under the name Opisthorchis viverrini. Its description in RNAcentral is "Eukaryotic large subunit ribosomal RNA". It matches the Rfam family "Eukaryotic large subunit ribosomal RNA", at positions 3015 to 3401 of the family's 3401-position model. The record is from Rfam by way of RNAcentral. Lineage: Eukaryota; Metazoa; Platyhelminthes; Trematoda; Opisthorchiida; Opisthorchiidae.